Molecule: ribosomal RNA, 236 nt
Filed under: uncultured bacterium
Lineage: Bacteria
Description: partial 16S ribosomal RNA
Rfam family: Bacterial small subunit ribosomal RNA
Source: RNAcentral
GAUCAUGGCUCAGGAUGAACGCUGGCGGCGUGCUUAACACAUUCAAGUCGAACGGACGACUCGGAGCUUGCUCCGGGAAGUUAGUGGCGGACGGGUGAGUAACGCGUGAGCAACCUACCUGUGUGAGUGGAAUAACGUCCGGAAACAGACGCUAAUACCGCAUGACUCACGGACUUCGCAUGGAGACCGUGGCAAAGAUUUAUCGCACACAGAUGGGCUCGCGUCCGAUUAGGCAG